RNAcentral lists this long non-coding RNA (210 nucleotides) under Carica papaya (papaya). RNAcentral's name for it is "long non-coding RNA (CPAP_LNC009417)". The record is from RNAcentral. Lineage: Eukaryota; Viridiplantae; Streptophyta; Magnoliopsida; Brassicales; Caricaceae.
GCCAUUACACAUGUCCCUUCUCAGAUGAUGUUGAAAGUGACGAUUCACUUAUUGAGUUGCCCAUUUAAGCUUGUUUGAAUUUGUUCCCGGAUCUUUAGAAAGAUUUUGAGUACAUUAUAUGUCCACACUUUAAUAAAACACCCUUGUAAUGGAAAAAGUGGCUACUCAUAACUUUUGUAUAUAUGUAUUUUGGUAGCCAUCUUCUUGGCC